GACGAACGCUGGCGGCGUGCUUAACACAUGCAAGUCGAAUGCUGAAGCUUGGUGCUUGCACUGGGUGGAUGAGUGGCGAACGGGUGAGUAAUACGUGAGUAACCUGCCCUUGACUCUGGGAUAAGCCUGGGAAACUGGGUCUAAUACUGGAUAUGACAUGCCACUGCAUGGUGGUGUGUGGAAAGGGUUUUACUGGUUUUGGAUGGGCUCACGGCCUAUCAGCUUGUUGGUGGGGUAAUGGCCUACCAAGGCGACGACGGGUAGCCGGCCUGAGAGGGUGCCCGCCCCCAUGGGGAUCGAAACCGGGCCCCGUCUCCUCGGGGGGGCAGCGGGGGGAAUUUUUGCACAAGGGGCGGAACCCUGAUGCAGCGCCGCCGCGGGGGGGAGGACGCCCUUGGGUUUGUAACCCUCUUCCGGCCGGAAAGAAGCGAGAGUGCCGUUACGUGCAAAAGAAGCCCCGGCUAACUACGU
RNAcentral lists this ribosomal RNA (471 nucleotides) under uncultured bacterium. RNAcentral describes it as "partial 16S ribosomal RNA". It matches the Rfam family "Bacterial small subunit ribosomal RNA", at positions 28 to 506 of the family's 1533-position model. The record is from RNAcentral.